CUAAAUGACUCUCGACAACGGAUAUCUCGGCUCUUGCAUCGAUGAAGAACGUAGCGAAAUGCGAUACUUGGUGUGAAUUGCAGAAUCCCGUGAACCAUCGAGUCUUUGAACGCAAGUUGCGCCUGAAGCCAUCAGGUUGAAGGCACGUCUGCCUGGGCGUCACGCAU
RNAcentral lists this ribosomal RNA (167 nucleotides) under Erica aneimena. Its description in RNAcentral is "5.8S ribosomal RNA". It matches the Rfam family "5.8S ribosomal RNA". Rfam says of the family: 5.8S ribosomal RNA (5.8S rRNA) is a component of the large subunit of the eukaryotic ribosome. It is transcribed by RNA polymerase I as part of the 45S precursor that also contains 18S and 28S rRNA. The record is from RNAcentral. Lineage: Eukaryota; Viridiplantae; Streptophyta; Magnoliopsida; Ericales; Ericaceae.